This 707-nucleotide ribosomal RNA is filed under the name Klebsiella planticola. Its description in RNAcentral is "Raoultella planticola partial 16S rRNA". The record is from RNAcentral. Lineage: Bacteria; Pseudomonadati; Pseudomonadota; Gammaproteobacteria; Enterobacterales; Enterobacteriaceae.
CGUCAGUCUUUGUCCAGGGGGCCGCCUUCGCCACCGGUAUUCCUCCAGAUCUCUACGCAUUUCACCGCUACACCUGGAAUUCUACCCCCCUCUACAAGACUCAAGCUUGCCAGUUUCAAAUGCAGUUCCCAGGUUGAGCCCGGGGAUUUCACAUCUGACUUAACAAACCGCCUGCGUGCGCUUUACGCCCAGUAAUUCCGAUUAACGCUUGCACCCUCCGUAUUACCGCGGCUGCUGGCACGGAGUUAGCCGGUGCUUCUUCUGCGAGUAACGUCAAUCGCUAAGGUUAUUAACCUUAACGCCUUCCUCCUCGCUGAAAGUACUUUACAACCCGAAGGCCUUCUUCAUACACGCGGCAUGGCUGCAUCAGGCUUGCGCCCAUUGUGCAAUAUUCCCCACUGCUGCCUCCCGUAGGAGUCUGGACCGUGUCUCAGUUCCAGUGUGGCUGGUCAUCCUCUCAGACCAGCUAGGGAUCGUCGCCUAGGUGAGCCAUUACCCCACCUACUAGCUAAUCCCAUCUGGGCACAUCUGAUGGCAUGAGGCCCGAAGGUCCCCCACUUUGGUCUUGCGACGUUAUGCGGUAUUAGCUACCGUUUCCAGUAGUUAUCCCCCUCCAUCAGGCAGUUUCCCAGACAUUACUCACCCGUCCGCCGCUCGUCACCCGAGAGCAAGCUCUCUGUGCUACCGCUCGACUUGCAUGUGUUAGG